GUGAAUAUGUCAAUGUCUCAAUUCUUUACAAAAGUAAAUUGUUUAAUAAUGAGUGUUUUGUGAGUUAGGGCUAGUGCAGAGAUGACAGAGAAAAUGUUUGAGCGAGAGAGAUGAAAGAGAAAGGGUUGAGAGGAAUGAAGGAGGUAAGUAAGGGUUUGAGGUUUCUUUUUUUAGUUUUGAGAAUGAAAAUUAUUAAAAUAAGGCAAGUGUUUUUGAUUUUUUUCAAUUGGAGCUAGAGGAGGGAUGACAGAGAAAAGGUUGGAGUGAAAGAGAUGAAAGAGAAAGGGUUGAGAGGAAUGAGAGAGGUGGAUAAGGGUUUGGGGGGUUUCUUUUUUUUUUUUU
RNAcentral lists this long non-coding RNA (342 nucleotides) under Vigna radiata. RNAcentral describes it as "long non-coding RNA (VRAD_LNC018604)". Lineage: Eukaryota; Viridiplantae; Streptophyta; Magnoliopsida; Fabales; Fabaceae. The record is from RNAcentral.